Molecule: non-coding RNA, 105 nt
Organism: Pedobacter ginsenosidimutans
Lineage: Bacteria; Pseudomonadati; Bacteroidota; Sphingobacteriia; Sphingobacteriales; Sphingobacteriaceae
Source: Rfam
UACUUAUCCAGAAAGACUGAGGGAAGGGCCCUAAGACGUCUGAGCAACCUAUACACUUGUAAAAGGUGCUAAUUCCUUUCUACCCAAGGGUGGAGAAGAUAAGUU